CAUGAAACUUGUCCCGUUCUUCUUCGCAUUCUUUUUUACCUUCCCCUGACCGGGAGGCAAUUCGUCGUAUAAGAAAGAAUGCGAAGACGAACAAUAAGGCCUCCCACCCGGGAGGCCUUUUUUAU
This is a non-coding RNA of Klebsiella pneumoniae IS39, 125 nucleotides long. The record is from Rfam. Lineage: Bacteria; Pseudomonadati; Pseudomonadota; Gammaproteobacteria; Enterobacterales; Enterobacteriaceae.